CAACGUGAUCACCUUUAUUUGAGUGAUCUAUUGAAGUUUUUAACAUUUUUUGUCGUUUUAUCACACGACAGAGAUUCAAAUUGAUAUCCCCCAGUAAAAGGAGAUCUUUGUCAAUUUUCGGAGUCUAUGUUUGAGCGAAAAUUACGUCGACGAAGGGGAAAUUCGUUACAUUUUAUAAGUCGCCAAGUGUGAAGGCACAUUGCUCAAGGGUUGUUGUUGUUGAAGUGUUGUUAAACAGAACAAUUCUUUGUGUGCUCCAUACAGCUGACAGAAAAAGCAGGAUGAAGAUGAGGAAUGUCAAGCCAUUGAAAAUUUAUAUUCAAUCAUCUUUAAAUCACAAGAAUUUCGGACAUAAUUUGAAUCACAGCCAUCCUCAAGUUCAAGAAAUUACAAAAGAAGAACAGACAGAUUAAAGUUUAAUGGGGAAGAUGGUGGUACAGUUACAUCAGGUGAGCGGUGUGGCACUAUGUAUAUUAUUGUUUGGGUAUGUAUUUAACUAUACAUUUACUCAUCUACAUCUACUCACCUUAAGUUGUAAAGCACUCACCCUUACUUUUACACCACUCACCCUUCCUUUUACAAUACUCACACUUACUUUUAGAAGACUCACCCUUACUUUUAGAGGCCUCACCCUUACUUUUAGAGACUCACCAUUACUUUUAGAGGACUCACCCUUACUUUUAGAA
This is a long non-coding RNA of Xenia sp. Carnegie-2017, 686 nucleotides long. RefSeq lists it as uncharacterized. The record is from RefSeq and is a predicted model, not a curated record. The transcript is spliced from 2 exons. NCBI's taxonomy places the organism in Eukaryota, Metazoa, Cnidaria, Anthozoa, Malacalcyonacea, Xeniidae.